AUGCUGCGCUGGCUGUCCGGAGGAAGAGGACCUGAGCAGCGGACUUCAACUUAUGAAUGGAUUUCUGCUGUUGAGAUAUUUCCGUAUGAUGAGGAAAGUUCUCUGUAUAAAUAUAUCCCUGCUUUGGAAAUAAAAAAGCUGCAGGAACAGAAUGCCAGCCUUCGGGCUGCUAUUGCACAAAUGAGGAAAGAAAUGGAGAGUCUUGAUGAGCAGAUGUUGUCUUCUCUUCCUCAAACAGAAGACAGACAGUUUGCAGAGCAAGGUUCAUUAGACACAAACAAAAUUUCAACUGGAACCACACUGAGCAACAUCAAAGUCAAUUCAGCUAAGUUGGAUUGUUUAGUAAACCCAGACAUGGAAGAGGGGCCAGAACCCAAAGUUCUUGAAGAAAACAUGGUCAAUUUUGGACAACAGCUACCCGAUGAGUCUGGCAUCCUGUUAGCUCUAAACACUGCACAGUUUGUAUUGCCUCUGGUAGUCUUCUUCCAAGAGAACUUGUCAAAAGAACACAGUGUCAGCUAUCAGUUCUAA
This 531-nucleotide long non-coding RNA is filed under the name Junco hyemalis (dark-eyed junco). Its description in RNAcentral is "lncRNA (ENSJHYG00000008260.1)". The record is from RNAcentral. Lineage: Eukaryota; Metazoa; Chordata; Aves; Passeriformes; Passerellidae.